CAGUAUCAUGAACAUUCAAAAGCCCUGAUUCUGCAUCCAUUGUAAAAAGGCCCUGGAGGAAAAACAAAGCUCAUUUCGCCACACAGAUGACAUUGAUGUUGAAGACCAGAUAAAAACCUUCAAAACACGUCCGCAGUCUACUUUGAUACAGAGCUCAUCUCAGCUUUUUUCAGUGACCCCUGACACGUACGUGACCCUGAGGAGUGACUUCAAAGUUGUGUGUGUGACAGGGAAAAGCCAGAGGAACAAGGGAGAGGGGGUCGGCCUGGCACGAAUCACUCUUGGCAUCGGGAAUGCGGUGGAGAGGAGAAAAACGAGGGAAGGAAAGAGAGAGAGAAGCAAAAGUGAUGACAUUGAGAGCUUAUCCUCUCCCUUGGGCCCUUAAGGUAUCGGGUGACCGGGCAAAGAGAGUUCACAUCCAAAAGGAGAGAGGGGAAAAAGAUGAUGAAAAAAAGAGAAAGAUGAUCUCAGUGUUUUUCAUGGGCAACAAGAAUAAAUUUGAGAAAAUGACCUCUUCAGGAUUUUUCCGUGACCCCAGCCGGGAGACGCCGGUGUCUCUGUGCAUUAUGGCUUGACCCUGUGACCUCUGGCUGUAUAUAACUAGCGGCUGGGUAUCUUAGUGCAUCCAAAUGUAAAUCUUUCACUUUUUAUGCCAGCAACUCUCCUCUCCUCUCUGUAGUCUUUAUCAGAGCUUUAAGAUAGGUUUUUGUUUUCACUGAUAGCAUUUCCUCUGUGAAAACAUCACGUCGACUCUAAUGACCUUGAAACUCUGAUAAUCUCAUCUGAGCUAGAGAGCAGAAAUAUCAGAGCACAAUACCUGAUUCAUACAUGAUUUUGAAUACACAAGUGAUGUUUGAUAGAAUAGAAAAAAUCAGAAUAGCACACUAGUAUACUACUUGUUCUACUUUUACAGUAUGCAGUUUGUUUACUGUGCAAAGUAUGUGCAUUUUCUGUAUGCAUGAAAUACCCAAAUGACCUUCUACAUUUGCCAAAAUGUGUAGUUUACAACCAGGGCACACUGUGUGGAUUACUUUACCCCGCAGUGCGCUCUACUUGACCAUCCAUUUCCAGAAAGACAAAUUAACUGGAAGUAAUCAGUCGUGAUUUUUAACAUCUCCUUCUAAACUCCCAAAAUGUACAACAUUUCUAAACAAAAUGAAAUAAAAAACAUGUACCUGUGUAAAUGAUUAACCAUUUAAUUCACCAAAUAAAACAUGC
Molecule: long non-coding RNA, 1218 nt
Organism: Myxocyprinus asiaticus (Chinese sucker)
Lineage: Eukaryota; Metazoa; Chordata; Actinopteri; Cypriniformes; Catostomidae
Exons: 3
Source: RefSeq, a predicted model, not a curated record